CGCGGCCUAUCAGCUUGUUGGUGAGGUAACGGCUCACCAAGGCAUCGACGGGUAGCUGGUCUGAGAGGACGAUCAGCCACACUGGGACUGAGACACGGCCCAGACUCCUACGGGAGGCAGCAGUAGGGAAUCUUGCGCAAUGGGCGAAAGCCUGACGCAGCAACGCCGCGUGGGGGAUGAAUGCCUUCGGGUUGUAAACCCCUUUCAGCAGGGACGAAAAUGACGGUACCUGCAGAAGAAGCUCCAGCCAACUACGUGCCAGCAGCCGCGGUAAUACGUAGGGAGCGAGCGUUGUCCGGAAUUAUUGGGCGUAAAGAGCUCGUAGGCGGUUCAGUAAGUCGGGUGUGAAAACUCAAGGCUCAACCUUGAGACGCCACUCGAUACUGCUGUGACUUGAGUCCGGUAGAGGAGUGUGGAAUUCCUGGUGUAGCGGUGAAAUGCGCAGAUAUCAGGAGGAACACCAGCGGCGAAGGCGGCACUCUGGGCCGGUACUGACGCUGAGGAGCGAAAGCAUGGGGAGCAAACAGGAUUAGAUACCCUGGUAGUCCAUGCCGUAAACGUUGGGCACUAAGCGUCCGACGGGUUCGACCCUGUUGGGUGCUGCAGUUAACGCGUUAAGUGCCCCGCCUGGGGAGUACGG
This 640-nucleotide ribosomal RNA is filed under the name uncultured Actinomycetes bacterium. RNAcentral's name for it is "bacterial SSU rRNA". It matches the Rfam family "Bacterial small subunit ribosomal RNA", at positions 232 to 885 of the family's 1533-position model. Lineage: Bacteria; Bacillati; Actinomycetota; Actinomycetes. The record is from RNAcentral.